Molecule: ribosomal RNA, 394 nt
Filed under: uncultured microorganism
Description: bacterial SSU rRNA
Rfam family: Archaeal small subunit ribosomal RNA
Source: RNAcentral
GCGCAGCAGUCGCGAAACUUCGCAAUGCGCGAAAGCGCGACGAGGGGAUUCCAAGUGCAUGCACUAAGUGUAUGCUUUUCGUGAGUUUAAAACGCUCACGGAAUAAGGGCUGGGUAAGACUGGUGCCAGCCGCCGCGGUAAUACCAGCGGCCCUAGUGGUGAUCGUUAUUAUUGGGCCUAAAGCGUCCGUAGCCGGUCCGGCAAAUCUCUGGGUAAAUCGUUGGGCUUAACUCAGCGAAUUCUGGGGAGACUGCUGGACUUGGGGACCGGGAGAGGUCGGAGGUACUCCAGGGGUAGGGGUGAAAGUCCUGUAAUCCUUGGGGGACCACCGGUGGCGAAGGCGUCCGACCAGAACGGGUCCGACGGUAAGGGACGAAGCCCUGGGGCGCGAACC